RNAcentral lists this ribosomal RNA (434 nucleotides) under uncultured Clostridium sp. RNAcentral describes it as "partial 16S ribosomal RNA". It matches the Rfam family "Bacterial small subunit ribosomal RNA", at positions 341 to 792 of the family's 1533-position model. The record is from RNAcentral. Lineage: Bacteria; Bacillati; Bacillota; Clostridia; Eubacteriales; Clostridiaceae.
ACGGAAGGCAGCAGUGGGGAAUAUUGGACAAUGGGGGAAACCCUGAUCCAGCGACGCCGCGUGAGUGAAGAAGUAUUUCGGUAUGUAAAGCUCUAUCAGCAAGGAAGAAAAUGACGGUACUUGACUAAGAAGCUCCGGCUAAAUACGUGCCAGCAGCCGCGGUAAUACGUAUGGAGCAAGCGUUAUCCGGAUUUACUGGGUGUAAAGGGAGCGUAGACGGUUUGGCAAGUCUGAAGUGAAAGCCCGGGGCUCAACCCCGGUAUUGCUUUGGAAACUGUUGAGCUAGAGUGCCGGAGGGGUAAGCGGAAUUCCUAGUGUAGCGGUGAAAUGCGUAGAUAUUAGGAGGAACACCAGUGGCGAAGGCGGCUUACUGGACGGUAACUGACGUUGAGGCUCGAAAGCGUGGGGAGCAAACAGGAUUAGAUACCCUGGUA